Non-coding RNA from Lolium perenne, 1471 nucleotides. The record is from RefSeq and is a predicted model, not a curated record. NCBI's taxonomy places the organism in Eukaryota, Viridiplantae, Streptophyta, Magnoliopsida, Poales, Poaceae.
AACCCAUAUUUUUAAGUUAUUGAAUAUUGUAAGUUGGAAAAUAAUUAGCUUCUAAUCAGUUUGUUUUGUGCUAAUUUAUAGUAUUUAAAUUGGGUACUGAUAUAUGAAUUCUGCAAAUAUUAGAGGAGUAUACGUUUUGUGCAUAAGAACUAGCUUGUAGUAAUUAAUUAGUUAGCCUGGAAUCAUUGAGUAGUACACGCAUGUAGUGAUGCAAUGUAAGAUGGAGCUGAACCAUGUCGGCAAGGUCUGGUCGGCCAAGUCUUGCGUGGACCUGUGCAUGGCCAGGGAAAGAUGAGUCAGCUCGUACGUGUCAGGUAGAGAUAGGAGAAGAAGUAGUAGUAUCCCAGGCAGCUCAGAUAUUUUAACACCGCUUGACCGCCCUUGCAACCUAUAAAUAGAAGCUCUCGCGCGCUACUGCUCAAAGCAUAGUAUCGUUUGGCUGCAUAGAGUGCCCGAGCAUAGAGAGAGUGAGAGAACGGUUGAGACCUGAGCAUGCAUCCAUGUUUAGGAGUUAAGAGGAGAUAGAAAUACAUAGCGUAGGCUGUGCUGUUAGAUCGUACAGAGAGACGAAGCCGUAGAUACGAAGAAUAAUAUCUACCAUCCGUCUAUAUAGCUGCGGAUUUAUUAUCGGUGGAGGAAGUAUUAUUUCAAGAUAGAUGAUAUAUGAUUCAGGCAAGCUGCUUUAUACCCUCUUAUAUAUUUUGUAAAGUAGGUUUUGCUGCUAAAAUACCUGAUUUAGUAUUUGAUAUGAGAUAUGAGAUAUUUGUGGGCUAAUCCGCCGGUGUCGUUACGCGGUGAUGGAUCCGCUGGAGCCACCGGUACGAAUCGGGCAUUAGCGCGAAUAUCGAUAGAAAGUGAUCAACAUGAGAGAUACAUGUUUUGAUAAGAGCAAACUUGGUGCUACGAAGGUAAACAUAUUGUACCGGUCACAGUUCAGGUAUGGGACUGUCUGUGUUCUCCGCUGGGGAUGGCCUCUGUUCGGGAACGUGUCGGUGAUGGAUCCGUAGGAGCGACCGGCAUCAGUAGGUCAGAGUGUCCGGGUCUUAGCGGGUAUAAGAACACUGCUUGACUAGCGCAACCUAGUCAAGACUGUCGAUGUCGGAGUACCCCUCUGCAGAGUGUAAAAGUGUGAAUUUCACCCCUGUGAUUCCCGGGUAGGGAAACUUACUUUCAUGUGUGGCACCAUGUGUUUUAAAUUGCCUAAUACCUUAACCACAUGUUGUUGUUUUUUUCGAAAAGCAUUUCUAUUUUACAAUUUAUAUGAUUGUGUAUAAUCGGUUUGCUGAGUAUGACUUGUCGUACUCAUCCCAGCUCCCCAAUAUUUUUAUCAGAGUUGCGCAGCAGAAGACCUCGUCGGCGGAGGUUUAGGCUGGACCAGCGGGUGGGAAGCGAUUAGAGAAUCUAGUUGUCUUUCUAGUGCAUUUGUAAAGAAACUUGUAAAAUAUUGAAUAGAUGAGUUUCUCGAGAUCCA